AUUGUGUCCAUUAUGUGUUGAUGACAACUUCAUACGGCCCUCAAGUUUGUUUUCUAUAGAUUGCUUUUGUUGAUUUGUUUUCCAUUUGUUGCACUAUUUAGUAUAUAUUGUUUCGACAACUCUACUUGAUGUAUAUGAUCCAAUGAAUUGCGGCAUUGAAGCUUUUGUGGUGAUAGACUUUCAAAUGUCAUUUUAAAUGGUUCUCUAGAAUCCCAGAUCUGAACCUUGUUCCAGCAUGAGUUGCUGCCCUCCUCUCAUCAAUUUGUGUUUUUUUUUGUGUGUGUGUGUGUGGGGGGGGGGGGUUGAAUUUAUUUGAGUUCU
Molecule: long non-coding RNA, 321 nt
Organism: Telopea speciosissima
Lineage: Eukaryota; Viridiplantae; Streptophyta; Magnoliopsida; Proteales; Proteaceae
Exons: 3
Source: RefSeq, a predicted model, not a curated record